GCUGAGAGGUGGUACAUGGCCGUCGUCAGUUCGUACUGUGAAGCAUCCUGUUAAGUCAGGCAACGAGCGAGACCCACGCCCACAGUUGCCAGCGUACUCUCUGGAGUGACGGGUACACUGUGGGGACCGCCGCUGCUAAAGCGGAGGAAGGAAUGGGCAACGGUAGGUCAGUAUGCCCCGAAUAUCCCGGGCUACACGCGAGCUACAAUGGUUGGUACAAUGGGUAUCUACCCCGAAAGGGGACGGGAAUCUCCUAAAACCAAUCUUAGUUCGGAUUGAGGGCUGCAACUCGCCCUCAUGAAGCUGGAAUCCGUAGUAAUCGCGUUUCAACAGAACGCGGUGAAUACGUCCCUGCUCCUU
This 360-nucleotide ribosomal RNA is filed under the name uncultured Methanosaeta sp. RNAcentral describes it as "bacterial SSU rRNA". It matches the Rfam family "Archaeal small subunit ribosomal RNA", at positions 979 to 1338 of the family's 1478-position model. Lineage: Archaea; Methanobacteriati; Methanobacteriota; Methanomicrobia; Methanotrichales; Methanotrichaceae. The record is from RNAcentral.